CAAUAGCGUAUAUUAAAGUUGUUGCAGUUAAAAAGCUCGUAGUUGGAUUUCUGGGAGGGUGCCGCCGUCCGGCGUGUCCGUGUGCAGUGGCGCCCUUCCAUCCUUCUGUUAGCGUCUCUUGGCAUUCAUUUACUGGUGGCGGGCUCAGAUAUUUUACCUUGAGAAAAUUAGAGUGUUUCAGGCAGGCUAGGCCGGAAUACAUUAGCAUGGAAUAAUGGAAUAGGACUACGGUCUCUUUGUUGGUUUGAGGGACUGCAGUAAUGAUUAAUAGGGAUAGUUGGGGGCAUUAGUAUUUAAUUGUCAGAGGUGGAAUUCUCAGAUUUGUUAAAGACUAACUUACGCGAAAGCAUUUGCCAAGGAUGUUUUCAUUA
This 371-nucleotide ribosomal RNA is filed under the name uncultured eukaryote. RNAcentral's name for it is "partial 18S ribosomal RNA". It matches the Rfam family "Eukaryotic small subunit ribosomal RNA", at positions 592 to 975 of the family's 1831-position model. The record is from RNAcentral.